Molecule: microRNA, 23 nt
Filed under: Eisenia fetida (common brandling worm)
Lineage: Eukaryota; Metazoa; Annelida; Clitellata; Crassiclitellata; Lumbricidae
Description: Efe-Mir-2-o21_3p (mature (guide))
Source: RNAcentral
CAUCACAGCCUGCUUUGUCUGGA